Phyllopteryx taeniolatus (common seadragon) is the source of this 1069-nucleotide long non-coding RNA. RefSeq lists it as uncharacterized. NCBI's taxonomy places the organism in Eukaryota, Metazoa, Chordata, Actinopteri, Syngnathiformes, Syngnathidae. The transcript has 3 exons. The record is from RefSeq and is a predicted model, not a curated record.
GUUGGAGUGAGGGGCGGCGCGCCGACGUGCAAAUCUUCCGACACUCAUCCCAUGACUGCUCCUCCGCUACCGAGAUGCAGGAUCGAUUAGGUGUGGCCAGUCCUUACCCACAAUCCACCGCGCGGAAUUGGCGGCAAGGCGCCGGGUACUUCAAGAUGGCAGAAAGAUUGAUGACUACCCCUGACUUGAACUGAAAACAAUGACAAAAACAUGUUUUGCAUUGUGCCACCAGAUUUGAUCCAAAAGCUCCCGGCUUUCACUGCAAAUCUCAAUGUCAUCUGCGAACAUCAUGGUCCACUGGGAUUCAAGUCUAACCUCAUCUGUCAGCCUAUCCAUCACCAAUGCAAACAGGAAAGGGCUCAGGGUUGAUCCCUGAUGCAGUCCCACCUCCACAUUAAAUUCCUCUGUCACACCUACAGCACAGCUCACCACUGUUCUGCUGCCCUCAUACGUGUUCUGUACUAUUCUAACAUACUUCUCUGCCACUCCAGACUUUCGCUUGCAGUACCACAGUUCCUCUUUGGGUACUCUGCCAUAGGCUUCCACUAGAUCUAUAAAGACAAUGUCGCUCCUUCUGACCUCCUCUAUACUUCUCCAUCAACACUCUCAAAGCAAAUAAUGCAUCUGUGGUACUCUUUCUAGGCAUGAAACCAUACUGUUUCUAGCAAAUACUCACUUCUGUCCUGAGUCUAGCCUCCAACACUGUUUCGCAUAACUUCAUUGUGUCGGUCAUCAACUUUAUUCCUCUAUUUUUCCCCCACAGUUCUGCACAUCACCCUUAUUCUUAAAAAGGCGCACCAGCACACUUUUCCUCCAUUCCUCAGGCAUCUUUUCACCCGGUAGAAUUCGGUUGAACAACCUGGUCAAAAAUCUCAGAUUCAGGAGGAGCAGUGUGGUUUUCGUCCUGGCCGUGGAACAGUGGACCAGCUCUACACCCUCGGCAGGGUCCUCGAGGGUGCAUGGGAGUUCGCCCAACCAGUCUACAUGUGUUUUGUGGACUUGGAGAAGGCGUUCGACCGUGUCCCUCGGGGAGUCCUGUGGAGAGUGCUUCGGGAGUAUGGGGUACCGA